UGGUUAAGUCCGCACGAGCGCAACCCUUGUCUUUAGUUGCCAUCAUUAAGUUGGGCACUCUAAAGAGACUGCCGAUGACAAAUCGGAGGAAGGUGGGGAUGACGUCAAAUCAUCAUGCCCUUUAUGUCCUGGGCUACACACGUGCUACAAUGGUCGGUACAACGAGAAGCAAGCCAGCGAUGGCAAGCAAAUCUCUAAAAGCCGAUCCCAGUUCGGAUUGCAGGCUGCAACUCGCCUGCAUGAAGUCGGAGUUGCUAGUAAUCGCGGAUCAGAAUGCCGCGGUGAAUGCGUUCCCGGGUCUU
This 302-nucleotide ribosomal RNA is filed under the name uncultured Eubacteriales bacterium. RNAcentral describes it as "bacterial SSU rRNA". It matches the Rfam family "Bacterial small subunit ribosomal RNA", at positions 1077 to 1382 of the family's 1533-position model. The record is from RNAcentral. Lineage: Bacteria; Bacillati; Bacillota; Clostridia; Eubacteriales.